AAAGUCGUAACAAGGUUUCCGUAGGUGAACCUGCGGAAGGAUCAUUAAUGAAUAACUAUGGUGUUGGUUGUUGCUGGCUUCUAGAAGCAUGUGCACGCCCACCAUUCUUAUCUGUCCACCUGUGAACACAAUGUAGGUCUGGAUAACUCUCGCUUUCGGGCGGAUACAGGGAUUGUCGCUUGCGGCUCUCCUUGAAUUUCCAGAUCUAUGUAUUUACAUACCCCAAUUGAAUGUUGAAGAAUGCAGUCAAUGGGCUUUAAGCCUAUAAAACAAUAUACAACUUUCAGCAACGGAUCUCUUGGCUCUC
RNAcentral lists this unclassified non-coding RNA (307 nucleotides) under Basidiomycota sp. RNAcentral's name for it is "partial contains small subunit ribosomal RNA, internal transcribed spacer 1, and 5.8S ribosomal RNA". The stretch from base 1 to 47 matches the Rfam family "Eukaryotic small subunit ribosomal RNA", at positions 1785 to 1831 of the family's 1831-position model. The record is from RNAcentral. Lineage: Eukaryota; Fungi; Basidiomycota.